RNAcentral lists this ribosomal RNA (253 nucleotides) under uncultured bacterium. RNAcentral's name for it is "partial 16S ribosomal RNA". It matches the Rfam family "Bacterial small subunit ribosomal RNA", at positions 524 to 776 of the family's 1533-position model. The record is from RNAcentral.
UACGGAGGGGACUAGCGUUGUUCGGAAUUACUGGGCGUAAAGCGCACGUAGGCGGAUUUGUUAGUCAGGGGUGAAAUCCCGAGGCUCAACCUCGGAACUGCCUUUGAUACUGCAAAUCUCGAGUCCGGAAGAGGUGAGUGGAAUUCCUAGUGUAGAGGUGAAAUUCGCAGAUAUUAGGAAGAACACCAGUGGCGAAGGCGGCUCACUGGUCCGGUACUGACGCUGAGGUGCGAAAGCGUGGGGAGCAAACAGG